UCUACAUUUUGAACCUUACUUUUGAGGUGAA
Molecule: non-coding RNA, 31 nt
Filed under: Homo sapiens (human)
Lineage: Eukaryota; Metazoa; Chordata; Mammalia; Primates; Hominidae
Source: RNAcentral